RNAcentral lists this ribosomal RNA (237 nucleotides) under uncultured bacterium. Its description in RNAcentral is "partial 16S ribosomal RNA". It matches the Rfam family "Bacterial small subunit ribosomal RNA", at positions 100 to 334 of the family's 1533-position model. The record is from RNAcentral.
CCGGCACGGGUGAGUAACACGUAUCCAACCUGCCGUCUACUCUUGGACAGCCUUCUGAAAGGAAGAUUAAUACAAGAUGGCAUCAUGAGUUCACAUGUUCACAUGAUUAAAGGUAUUCCGGUAGACGAUGGGGGUGCGUUCCAUUAGAUAGUAGGCGGGGUAACGGCCCACCUAGUCUUCGAUGGAUAGGGGUUCUGAGAGGAAGGUCCCCCACAUUGGAACUGAGACACGGUCCAA